This 207-nucleotide ribosomal RNA is filed under the name uncultured bacterium. RNAcentral describes it as "partial 16S ribosomal RNA". It matches the Rfam family "Bacterial small subunit ribosomal RNA", at positions 568 to 774 of the family's 1533-position model. The record is from RNAcentral.
CACGUAGGCGGAUAUUUAAGUCAGGGGUGAAAUCCCAGAGCUCAACUCUGGAACUGCCUUUGAUACUGGGUAUCUUGAGUAUGGAAGAGGUAAGUGGACUUCCGAGUGUAGAGGUGAAAUUCGUAGAUAUUCGGAGGAACACCAGUGGCGAAGGCGGCUUACUGGUCCAUUACUGACGCUGAGGUGCGAAAGCGUGGGGAGCAAACA